UACGAAGGGGGCUAGCGUUGCUCGGAAUCACUGGGCGUAAAGGGUGCGUAGGCGGGUCUUUAAGUCAGGGGUGAAAUCCCGGAGCUCAACUCCGGAACUGCCUUUGAUACUGGAAAGCUUGAGUCCGGGAGAGGUGAGUGGAACUGCGAGUGUAGAGGUGAAAUUCGUAGAUAUUCGCAAGAACACCAGUGGCGAAGGCGGCUCACUGGCCCGAUACUGACGCUGAGGUGCGAAAGCGUGGGGAGCAAACAGG
This 253-nucleotide ribosomal RNA is filed under the name uncultured bacterium. Its description in RNAcentral is "partial 16S ribosomal RNA". It matches the Rfam family "Bacterial small subunit ribosomal RNA", at positions 524 to 776 of the family's 1533-position model. The record is from RNAcentral.